This 461-nucleotide ribosomal RNA is filed under the name uncultured bacterium. Its description in RNAcentral is "partial 16S ribosomal RNA". It matches the Rfam family "Bacterial small subunit ribosomal RNA", at positions 338 to 795 of the family's 1533-position model. The record is from RNAcentral.
CCUACGGGCGGCAGCAGUGAGGAAUAUUGGUCAAUGGGCUUACGCCUGAACCAGCCAAGUCGCGUGAGGGAAGACUGCCCUAUGGGUUGUAAACCUCUUUUGUCAGGGAGCAAUUGGCGCUACGUGUAGCGUUAUCGAGAGUACCUGAAGAAAAAGCAUCGGCUAACUCCGUGCCAGCAGCCGCGGUAAUACGGAGGAUGCGAGCGUUAUCCGGAUUUAUUGGGUUUAAAGGGUGCGUAGGCGGAAUGUUAAGUCAGUUGUGAAAGUUUGCGGCUCAACCGUAAAAUUGCAGUUGAAACUGGCAGUCUUGAGUACAGUAGAGGUGGGCGGAAUGCGUGGUGUAGCGGUGAAAUGCAUAGAUAUCACGCAGAACUCCGAUUGCGAAGGCAGCAUACCGGCGCCCAACUGACGCUGAAGCACGAAAGCGUGGGUAUCGAACAGGAUUAGAUACCCGAGUAGUC